Molecule: non-coding RNA, 576 nt
Organism: Camellia sinensis
Lineage: Eukaryota; Viridiplantae; Streptophyta; Magnoliopsida; Ericales; Theaceae
Source: RefSeq, a predicted model, not a curated record
AAUUUAUUUGGUCGGCAUUGAUAGCAGAUUUUUUUGGGGAAAAGUUUUUCAAAUUUGGAGGCAAUUCAUUUUGACUUUUUCUUUUCAUACAUAUUUGUUUUUAUCAAUCCACCCAAACCAAACCCAGAAGACUCUUGACUCUUGCUCUCCCUCUCUCUCAGGGACGACUCACCAUCACUUUAGCCCCUAUCGCUCACCGUUGAUCUUCCACCAUCGUUCACCGUCGAUCUUCCAUUGUCGCACACCGCCACCGCCGUUGUUCACCUCGUAGCUCCUCGCAUUGCAUUGCUUCGACAGUGAGAUGGCAUGGUUGCGUGGACUUGUGGAUAAUCCAUAUUGGUAUAAUGACUGCCAUGGCACGUAGAUCACCUUCUGUCGUGGUACAUAUAUACCAUUUGUUGGCAUACAUAUAGGACGUUUUGUCAUGGUCCAUAGAAAACUUGUCGUGAUAUAUCACUUUUUGUUGUGGUACAGAUUACGAUGGUAAUUUGUACCAUGCCAAAUGGUAAUUUCGCUUGGACGUAAAUGUAUUUUUUUUGUGUACGUAGGGUUUUGAUUUUUGUAUGAUAUAUUUUG